GAUUGAACGCUGGCGGCAGGCCUAACACAUGCAAGUCGAGCGGUAACAGGUCCAGCUUGCUGGACGCUGACGAGCGGCGGACGGGUGAGUAAUGCAUAGGAAUCUACCCAGUCGUGGGGGAUAACCUGGGGAAACCCAGGCUAAUACCGCAUACGUCCUACGGGAGAAAGCGGGGGCUCUUCGGACCUCGCGCGAUUGGAUGAGCCUAUGUCGGAUUAGCUGGUUGGUGGGGUAACGGCUCACCAAGGCGACGAUCCGUAGCUGGUCUGAGAGGAUGAUCAGCCACACUGGGACUGAGACACGGCCCAGACUCCUACGGGAGGCAGCAGUGGGGAAUAUUGGACAAUGGGCGAAAGCCUGAUCCAGCCAUGCCGCGUGUGUGAAGAAGGCUUUCGGGUUGUAAAGCACUUUCAGUGGGGAAGAAGGCUUGUCGGCCAAUACCCGGCAAGAGCGACAUCACCCACAGAAGAAGCACCGGCUAACUCCGU
Molecule: ribosomal RNA, 488 nt
Filed under: Chromohalobacter sp. EMB12
Lineage: Bacteria; Pseudomonadati; Pseudomonadota; Gammaproteobacteria; Oceanospirillales; Halomonadaceae
Description: bacterial SSU rRNA
Rfam family: Bacterial small subunit ribosomal RNA
Source: RNAcentral